AUUGAACACUGGCGGCGUGCCUAACACAUGCAAGUCGAGCGGUAACAGGUGUAGCAAUACAUGCUGACGAGCGGCGAACGGGUGAGUAAUGCUUCGGAAUCUACCCAAUGGUGGGGAAUAACCAGCCGAAAGGUUGGCUAAUACCGCAUACGUCCCACGGGAGAAAGCAGGGGAUCGCAAGACCUUGCGCCAAUGGAUGAGCCGAAGUCGGAUUAGCUAGUUGGAGGGUAACGGCCUACCAAGGCGACGAUCCGUAGCUGGUCUGAGAGGACGACCAGCCACACUGGGACUGAGACACGGCCCAGACUCCUACGGGAGGCAGCAGUGGGGAAUAUUGGACAAUGGGGGAAACCCUGAUCCAGCGACGCCGCGUGUGUGAAGAAGGCCUGCGGGGUUGUAAA
RNAcentral lists this ribosomal RNA (401 nucleotides) under uncultured bacterium. RNAcentral's name for it is "bacterial SSU rRNA". It matches the Rfam family "Bacterial small subunit ribosomal RNA", at positions 29 to 429 of the family's 1533-position model. The record is from RNAcentral.